UACGAAGGUGGCAAGCGUUGUUCGGAAUUAUUGGGCGUAAAGAGCGUGUAGGCGGUUCGGUAAGUCUGCCGUGAAAUCCUGGGGCUCAACCCCGGGCGUGCGGUGGAUACUGCCGGGCUAGAGGGUGGUAGAGGCGAGUGGAAUUCCCGGUGUAGCGGUGAAAUGCGCAGAUAUCGGGAGGAACACCAGUAGCGAAGGCAGCUCGCUGGGACGUUACUGACACUGAGGCGCGAAAGCGUGGGGAGCGAACAGG
This 253-nucleotide ribosomal RNA is filed under the name uncultured bacterium. RNAcentral's name for it is "partial 16S ribosomal RNA". It matches the Rfam family "Bacterial small subunit ribosomal RNA", at positions 524 to 776 of the family's 1533-position model. The record is from RNAcentral.